RNAcentral lists this transfer RNA (71 nucleotides) under Loxodonta africana (African savanna elephant). It matches the Rfam family "tRNA". From Rfam's summary of the family: Transfer RNA (tRNA) molecules are approximately 80 nucleotides in length. Their secondary structure includes four short double-helical elements and three loops (D, anti-codon, and T loops). Further hydrogen bonds mediate the characteristic L-shaped molecular structure. tRNAs have two regions of fundamental functional importance: the anti-codon, which is responsible for specific mRNA codon recognition, and the 3' end, to which the tRNAs corresponding amino acid is attached (by aminoacyl-tRNA synthetases). tRNAs cope with the degeneracy of the genetic code in two manners: having more than one tRNA (with a specific anti-codon) for a particular amino acid; and 'wobble' base-pairing, i.e. permitting non-standard base-pairing at the 3rd anti-codon position. Lineage: Eukaryota; Metazoa; Chordata; Mammalia; Proboscidea; Elephantidae. The record is from Rfam by way of RNAcentral.
GCCUUGGUAGUUCAGUGCUGGAAUUCUUGCCUUCCAUGUGGGAGACCCAGGUUUGAUUCCUGGCCAAUGCG